GUAGGUGGCAAGCGUUGUCCGGAAUUAUUGGGCGUAAAGCGCGCGCAGGUGGUUCUUUAAGUCUGAUGUGAAAGCCCCCGGCUCAACCGGGGAGGGUCAUUGGAAACUGGGGAACUUGAGUGCAGGAGAGGAAAGUGGAAUUCCACGUGUAGCGGUGAAAUGCGUAGAUAUGUGGAGGAACACCAGUGGCGAAGGCGACUUUCUGGCCUGUAACUGACACUGAGGCGCGAAAGCGUGGGGAGCAAACAGGGAUUAGAUACCCUGGUAGUCCACGCCGUAAACGAUGAGUGCAAAGUGUUGGGGGGGUUUCCCGCCCCUCAGUGCUGCAGCUAACGCAUUAAGCACUCCGCCUGGGGAUACGGUCGCAAGACUG
RNAcentral lists this ribosomal RNA (373 nucleotides) under uncultured organism. RNAcentral describes it as "partial 16S ribosomal RNA". It matches the Rfam family "Bacterial small subunit ribosomal RNA", at positions 527 to 896 of the family's 1533-position model. The record is from RNAcentral.